GGGAAGCUUACAUGGCAGUCGAGGGGCAUCGGGAGGGAAGCUUGCUUUCCUUGCCGGCGACCGGCGCACGGGUGAGUAACACGUAUGCAACCUGCCCUCUUCAGGGGGACAACCUUCCGAAAGGGAGGCUAAUCCCGCGUAUAUCGGUUUCGGGCAUCCGUUAUCGAGGAAAGAUUCAUCGGAAGAGGAUGGGCAUGCGGCGCAUUAGCUAGACGGCGGGGUAACGGCCCACCGUGGCGACGAUGCGUAGGGGUUCUGAGAGGAAGGUCCCCCACACUGGUACUGAGACACGGACCAGACUCCUACGGGAGGCAGCAGUGAGGAAUAUUGGUCAAUGGGAGAGAUCCUGAACCAGCCAAGCCGCGUGAGGGAAGACGGCCCUAUGGGUUGUAAACCUCUUUUGUCGGAGAACAAAACCCGGGACGAGUCCCGGACUGCGUGUAUCCGAAGAAAAAGCAUCGGCUAACUCCGUGCCAGCAGCCGCGGUAAUACGGAGGAUGCGAGCGUUAUCCGGAUUUAUUGGGUUUAAAGGGUGCGUAGGCGGUCCGUUAAGUCAGCGGUAAAAUUGCGGGGCUCAACCCCGUCGAGCCGUUGAAACUGGCAGACUUGAGUUGGCGAGAAGUACGCGGAAUGCGCGGUGUAGCGGUGAAAUGCAUAGAUAUCGCGCAGAACUCCGAUUGCGAAGGCAGCGUACCGGCGCCAGACUGACGCUGAGGCACGAAAGCGUGGGGAUCGAACAGGAUUAGAUAC
RNAcentral lists this ribosomal RNA (750 nucleotides) under uncultured bacterium. RNAcentral describes it as "bacterial SSU rRNA". It matches the Rfam family "Bacterial small subunit ribosomal RNA", at positions 44 to 785 of the family's 1533-position model. The record is from RNAcentral.